UUUUUGUUUUUGAGAAAUUCAUAUGUAACAUUAUGUUUACCAUCUUAUUGAAUAUAUUGUCAACUGCCUGAAAAGUCAUAGCAGUAAGUUAAAGCAAAAUAAUCUCAAUAAUCUCUUGAUUAAUUAAUAAUGAGUGAGGAUCAUAAUAUGUUAUUUUAGGUGUUUUUGUGUUGCAUCUUCCAGUGACACACAAGAUUGCUUUAUCCUGUGUAAUUGAGACAAGUGCACCUUGAAAGCUCCACCAGCCUGUAGACUUAGUGGUUGUACAGAGGAUGCAGUGGCAGUGUGUUGGGCAUAUAUGAGACCGCCCUCCAAAAAAAAACAAGUCUUGUUUGAUAGCAGUAUUAAGAAGCUUUAUUCUAGGUAUGAGAGUGUCAAACUUCAGCUGUCAUGAAGGUAGGAUUAAUAACUCCUUGUUUACAUAUGUAUGUCACUAAAAGGAUUUGAAAGUUGUAAGGAGCAUCUGUCUUCAAGUGUAACAUAACUUGAUCUUGCCAUAUUUUGUUUGGAACUUUUAUUGAAUUGAUCGAGAAUCAAUAUAUAACAUUAAUUUGGAAGCCUUCUUGUUCAUAUACUGUAAAUAGGAAUUUAUGCCAUAAUGUAUUAACUUGUUGAAAAGAAAAUGUGAAUUUUAAUUUUUGAUAAGUAGACAGGAAACCAAAUGUUUGCCAUCUUUUUGAAGCUUCUAAAAAUUACAUAGGGGAACUCAUGCAAUGACAGUAACCAUGUUAAUGGGUUUUAGAAAAGUAGAGACAAAGAAUAUAAGUUGUCAACUGCCUGGAAUUUCAUAGCAGUAAGUUAAAUGCAAAGUAAUCAAUAAUCUCUUCAUUAAUUAGUAAUGAGUGAGGAUCAUGAGAUGUUAUCUUAGGUAUUUUUAUGUUGCAUCUUCCAGUGACACAAAGCUCCACCACCCUGUAGGUGAGUGACCAAAAUACACACAGUCCUUUAUGCAUGCCAACGUAUACACUGUAUUAGGAAUUCCUAUUGUCAUGAAUGAACCUUGUUGAACAUGCAUGGCACUGAACUGUGAUGGUGCUGUAACAAUGUACUGCAGGAAGCUUCCCUUGCUGAUAAUCACUGAUAUUUUCAGACUUAGUGGUUGUACAGAGAAAGUAGUGGCAGUGUGUUGAGCAGUAUAUAUUGGACCCCAAAAGAACAAGUCUCGUUUGAUAUCAGUAUCAAAAAGAUUUAUUCAAGGUAUAAGAAGAGUGUCAAACUUCACCUAUUGUGAAGUGACACGCAAGAUUGUUUUAUCCUGUGUACAUGAGGAGACAAGUGUACCUUGAAAGCUCCACCAGCCUGUAGACUAUGUGGUUGUACAGAGAAAGCAGUGGCAGUGUAUUGAGCAGUAUAUAUUGGACCGCAAGUGAACAAGUCUUGUUUGAUAUCAGUAUUAAAAAGAUUUAUUCAAGGUAUAAGAAGAGUGUCAAACUUCAGCUAUUGUGAAGGUAUAAGAAGAGUGUCAAACUUCAGCUGUCGUGAAGUUACAUGCAAGAUUGUUUUAUCCUGUGUAGCUGAGGAGACAAGUACACCUUGAAAGCUCCUCCAACCUGUAGACUUAGUGGUUGUACAGAGAAAGCAGUGGCAGUGUGUUGAGGUAUAAGAAGAGUGUCAAACUUCAGCUGUCGUGAAGUUACAUGCAAGAUUGUUUUAUCCUGUGUAGCUGAGGAGACAAGUACACCUUGAAAGCUCCUCCAACCUGUAGACUUAGUGGUUGUACAGAGAAAGCAGUGGCAGUGUGUUGAGGUAUAAGAAGAGUGUCAAACUUCAGCUGUCGUGAAGUUACAUGCAAGAUUGUUUUAUCCUGUGUAGCUGAGGAGACAAGUACACCUUGAAAGCUCCUCCAACCUGUAGACUUAGUGGUUGUACAGAGAAAGCAGUGGCAGUGUGUUGAGGUAUAAGAAGAGUGUCAAACUUCAGCUGUCGUGAAGUUACAUGCAAGAUUGUUUUAUCCUGUGUAGCUGAGGAGACAAGUACACCUUGAAAGCUCCUCCAACCUGUAGACUUAGUGGUUGUACAGAGAAAGCAGUGGCAGUGUGUUGAGGUAUAAGAAGAGUGUCAAACUUCAGCUGUCGUGAAGUUACAUGCAAGAUUGUUUUAUCCUGUGUAGCUGAGGAGACAAGUACACCUUGAAAGCUCCUCCAACCUGUAGACUUAGUGGUCGUACAGAGAAAGCAGUGGCAGUGUGUUGAGGUAUAAGAAGAGUGUCAAACUUCAGCUGUCGUGAAGUUACAUGCAAGAUUGUUUUAUCCUGUGUAGCUGAGGAGACAAGUACACCUUGAAAGCUCCUCCAACCUGUAGACUUAGUGGUUGUACAGAGAAAGCAGUGGCAGUGUGUUGAGGUAUAAGAAGAGUGUCAAACUUCAGCUGUCGUGAAGUUACAUGCAAGAUUGUUUUAUCCUGUGUAGCUGAGGAGACAAGUACACCUUGAAAGCUCCUCCAACCUGUAGACUUGAUGGUUGUACAGAGGAUGCAGUGGCAGUGUGUUGAGGUAUGAGAAGAGUGUCAAACUUCAGCUAUUGUGAAGUGACACAAAAGAUUGUUUUAUCCUGUGUAGUUGAGGAGACAAUUGCACCUUGAAAGCUCCACCAGCCUGUAGACUUAGUGGUUGUACAGAGAAAGCAGUGGCAGUGUGUUGAGCAGUAUAUAUUGGACCCCAAGAGAACAAGUCUCGUUUGAAAUCAGUAUUAAAAAGAUUUUUUUCAAGGUAUAAGAAGAGUGUCAAACUUCAGCUAUUGUGAAGUGACACGCAAGAUUAUUUUAUCCUGUGUACCUGAGGAGACGAGUGUACCUUGAAAGCUCCACCAGCCUGUAGACUUAGUGGUUGUACAGAGAAAGUAGUGGCAGUGUGUUGAGCAGUAUAUAUUGGACCCCAAGAGAACAAGUCUCGUUUGAUAUCAGUAUUAAAAAGAUUUAUUCAAGGUAUAAGAAGAGUGUCAAACUUCAGCUAUUGUGAAGUGACAUGCAAGAUUGUUUUAUCCUGUGUACCUGAGGAGACAAGUGCACCUUGAAAGCUCCACCAGCCUGUAGACUUAGUGGUUGUACAGAGAAAGCAGUGGCAGUGUGUUGAGCAGUAUAUAUUGGACCCCAAGAGAACAAGUCUUGUUUGAUAUCAGUAUUAGAAAGAUUUAUUCAAGGUAUAAGAAGAGUGUCAAACUUCAGCUAUUGUGAAGUGACAUGCAAGAUUGUUUUAUCCUGUGUACCUGAGGAGACAAGUGCACCUUGAAAGCUCCACCAGCCUGUAGACUUAGUGGUUGUACAGAGAAAGCAGUGGCAGUGUGUUGAGCAGUAUAUAUUGGACCCCAAGAGAACAAGUCUUGUUUGAUAUCAGUAUUAAAAAGAUUUAUUCAAGGUAUAAGAAGAGUGUCAAACUUCAGCUAUUGUGAAGUGACAUGCAAGAUUGUUUUAUCCUGUGUACCUGAGGAGACAAGUGCACCUUGAAAGCUCCACCAGCCUGUAGACUUAGUGGUUGUACAGAGAAAGCAGUGGCAGUGUGUUGAGCAGUAUAUAUUGGACCCCAAGAGAACAAGUCUUGUUUGAUAUCAGUAUUAAAAAGAUUUAUUCAAGAAGAGUGUCAAACUUCAGCUAUCGUGUAGUGACACGCAAGAUUGUUUUAUCCUGUGUACCUGAGGAGACAAGUGUACCUUGAAAGCUCCACCAGCCUGUAGGUAUGAGAAGAGUGUCAAACUUCAGCUGUCGUGAAGUGACAAGCAAGAUUGUUUUAUCCUGUGUAGUUGAGGAGACAAGUGCACCUUGAAAGCCUCACCAACCUGUAGGCUUGGUUGUACAGAGGAUGCAAUGGCAGUGUGUUGAGGUGAGUUACCUUGAAGAACUAUUUGUUUCUGGACACAUGGAUCAGUCAGGUUUGAUAGGUGUCUGCUAGGACUAAAGUAUGUAAGGGGUGUUUUUGUUGUCCAAGAUCUUGUCCCUGAGAUCUUUGGAGGGUAAGCCUGUGUUCCCCACUUGCUCUUUGUACAUGUUUCAGUUUCUGAAGAUGGGAUCAAGUUGGUCCCAAAAUCUCUCGAAGUGUAUGAAUGGUAAUGGUGAUUUUAUUGCAGUCUUAACAUAACUAGUCUUCAGUUUUAUCUGAGUAUAAAAAACAUUAUUAAAUGUUUGUAAGAGUACAUUGAUAUAUAUAUAUAUAUAUA
Molecule: long non-coding RNA, 4148 nt
Organism: Portunus trituberculatus (swimming crab)
Lineage: Eukaryota; Metazoa; Arthropoda; Malacostraca; Decapoda; Portunidae
Exons: 56
Source: RefSeq, a predicted model, not a curated record